This 205-nucleotide long non-coding RNA is filed under the name Phoenix dactylifera (date palm). RNAcentral's name for it is "long non-coding RNA (PDAC_LNC009223)". The record is from RNAcentral. Lineage: Eukaryota; Viridiplantae; Streptophyta; Magnoliopsida; Arecales; Arecaceae.
CUUUGAGGUCAGCCCCGGGAGCUAUAGGGGUCGGAGUGGUCUCUCUAGUCAUACCAAGUAGUUAUAUGAAUUGGGUUCAUUUUCUUCUCGAUUCGAUCUUUGAUUUCGUUUGAUUGUAGGUAGAAAGCCUAUGUCAUGGCAGUCAAAUCUCUCUUUCUUGGAACAGAGCUUCAGCACAUCAAUAGCAGUCAAAUCCUCCUUUUGA